Long non-coding RNA from Sander lucioperca (pikeperch), 109 nucleotides. RefSeq lists it as uncharacterized. The transcript is spliced from 4 exons. The record is from RefSeq and is a predicted model, not a curated record. NCBI's taxonomy places the organism in Eukaryota, Metazoa, Chordata, Actinopteri, Perciformes, Percidae.
AUCCCCACUCUAUGUACCUAAAUUUAGUCUUGCAUUGCCAGAUCUACCUCCACGGCGCUGCGUAGGAGGGUCAGGCUAGUCCAUACAGCAUUCCGGGAUGGGAGAAAAA